Molecule: ribosomal RNA, 270 nt
Filed under: Rhizonema sp. 'cyanobiont of Cora paraciferrii'
Lineage: Bacteria; Bacillati; Cyanobacteriota; Cyanophyceae; Nostocales; Rhizonemataceae
Description: partial 16S ribosomal RNA
Rfam family: Bacterial small subunit ribosomal RNA
Source: RNAcentral
GAUGAACGCUGGCGGUAUGCUUAACACAUGCAAGUCGAACGGUCUCUUCGGAGAUAGUGGCGGACGGGUGAGUAACGCGUGAGAAUCUGGCUCUAGGUCUGGGACAACCACUGGAAACGGUGGCUAAUACCGGGUGUGCCGAAAGGUGAAAGGUUAACUGCCUAGAGAUGAGCUCGCGUCUGAUUAGCUAGUUGGUAGGGUAAAAGCUUACCAAGGCGACGAUCAGUAGCUGGUCUGAGAGGACGAUCAGCCACACUGGGACUGAGACAC